GGAACUCCCAGCUCAUCUUUUUGAGUUGGCCUGUUCCAUAUGUAGAAGCUGAGGCUAUGGAUUGGCUGUUUUGGAUCUAGUGUACACUUCUAAUCAGGUCAAUGCAGAAGCGACAGGCUCAGUUGGAAGAAAAUAUGGCUGAGGUGGCUCUCUGCUGAGCAGGGCUGCUGGUGGCACAGUUUCUCCUUGAAAGGGUGUUCAGUGUUGGCAGAAUGAGACAUGAUGGUCUGGUCCUGGUAGAUGGAAAGUGCAAGCCUAGACUCUGGUCCUGGCUCUGCCUAGUGUUGUGACCUUGAACUUCAUUAACUUUUCUAUGCCUCAGCUUUCUCAAAAUGAUACUUCCCCUCUCAACACACAGAGUUGUUAGGAGGACUAAGUAAAAUCAUAUGUGAGAAGAAAUAUUUCUUGGUGCUUAACGAAUGGAAUAAUACUGACAUGUUUCUUUAAUACCAAGAUACACAUUUUUUUCCUUUUGUUGUUUAAAUCAGAAUGUCAAUUGAUGUGAACACUUAAUACUGAAGUUUUGUUGUUUCUCCAGAUGUUACAAAGUCAAUGGUAUGUCUUACAGUAAAUAAAGCCUGAGUUUUCUUUUUGCUUUUUUUCUUAGGGCAGCACCCGCGGCAUAUGGAGUUUCCCUGGCUAGUGGUCUAAUCAGAGCUACAGCUGCCAGCCUACACCAUAGCCACAGCAAUGCAGGAUCCAAGCCAAGUCUGCAACCUAUGCCACAGCUUAUGGCAACGCCGGAUCCUUAACCCACUGAAUGAGGCCAAGGAUCGAACCCACAACCUCAUGGUUUCUAGUCGGAUUCGUUACUGCUGCGCCACAAUGGGAACUCCAAACCUGUGUUUUCUAUCACUGUACACCACAGUUUAGCAGUUUAAAAACAAUGCCAAUUUAUCAUCUCAUGGUUCCUGUGGGCUCAGGGCUUCUCAGCUCAGAGUCUCACAAAACUGAAAUCCAAGUGUCAGCAGCCAGGAACGCGCUCUCAUCUGAGGGUGGGGCCCUUUUCCAAGCUCACCAGUUGGCAGAACUUAGUUCCUCUCAGCUGUAGGGCUGAGUUCCUCAGAGUCGAGAAGGUGCCCACCAUCCCCUGCCACGUAACCCUCUUCAAAAAUGGUCAUUUGCUUCUUCAAGGAGCAUAGGAGAGAGUGCCUGCUGCUUCCCACCUCUCGGACCUGUUCUGUCCCUAAACCCUCACUUAAAGGGUUUCACUGAUUGGGUCAGGCUCACCAGGAUGCUCUUUCCCUUAGGAUCAUUUCAAAGUCAACAAACCGGAGACACCUGCAAAGUCCCUCCACCUUCGCCAGGCAUAGAUGAAAUCCCUCCUACUCGUGAGUCCUGCCCCACCCCCCAGGGGGAGGGGAUUAUACCGCGUGCCUAUACCUGGGGGCAGGAAUCCUGCGGGCAAUCUUAGAAUUCUGUUUACACCGUAUCUAAAAUUCUCGGAAAUAUGGCCGUUUGAUGAGGGCAAUCUGGUGUGACUCCCAGUUUCCUUUUGCGUCUUCCUUCUCCACCAGAGCACUGUACCCAAAGUAACUCCCAGACGCCCCAGUGGAAAACUUAUUUUUCACUUUUUGUAGGACUUCCUACGUUUCUCCCAGGAGCCAGGUAUCCAAGGUGGUGAAUAAACUUCAGCGCUGCCUAGUGCAGCCCUUUGAGAAGGAUUGUCUGGUGGCAUUUGGGGUUCCUCAGAGACUUGAACCCCAAUGCCCCAAGGCACUGAUUGGUACCGAUUCACUUCCUUCAUGUGCAUCUAUGGUGCGGCGAGUUAGGUAACACGCUUCGGAGCCUCUGACGAGAAUCCUAAUCAGAGUCAGAGAGCAGUUGGUUCUGAGGAGCAGCUUGGGUUGAGAUCAGGUGGCCUGAUCAGUUGCUGGCUUUGGCUGCUGAUGCUGGUGAGGGAAGUAACGGCAUGGACGCUGGGAAUUUGUCAUCGCUGCUUCCGUGCCUUCAGGAUCUGGUGCAUCACCAUUGCCGACCAGCCCCUCCGCUGUCUCCCAGGUAGGUGAUUCCAAGACCUCCACUGAAGUGCUCACAGAACUUGGAAGAGAGAGAGUCCUUCUAAUGGCCAAUGAGCUAAGAAGCUGUAUUCCACCCCACCCCCAUCCCCCCCACCUCCACCGGCCCUUGGACUCACUUCCUAACUCUAUUGUGCGUUUUACUCCUCUCCCUCUAGUGUUGGUAGGAGUCAGAGAUCACAUCCCCAGAGUUAAAACCAAAGGCAUUGGUCUUUGGGCAGAUCGUGACUGCCCAUCAAAGGCUUGCUUUGCCUUUGGCUGGUCCUUAGUGGUUAUUGUUGUCAUGAGAAUGCCUUGACAACAUCAAUCCAAUCAACAGAAAUCAUCCCCCACCCCUGCUCUUUCUUUAGCUAAAACCAGCAGUAACAAUCAAUCUUCACACCACCCUUUCUUAUAAAUACCUCGGGUAUUCGUUCUGUCUGCAUGUUCCACUAGACUCUGAAUUUCUUGAAGGGAAGAGACUAUAUCUUGUCUUCCAUUUCAUUCCUACUGCCUGGCACACCAAUGCAGAGCAGCCUCUAAGUAAAUUCUUGAUGGGAUGAGCAAAAGAAUUUACUAACUCCUUCCACGUACUCAGAAUCAAAUAGUUUUGUUUUUGUUUGUUUGUUUAAAUAAAGUCCAAAGGUGCCACCUCCCUCCUCCCUUCAUCAUCAUUAGACAGUUUAGUUUGACAGCAAGGGGAAAAAGAAAAAUCGUGGGAAGAAGGUAAGUGAAUUACAUCAGGAUCUGAGCGGAAACAGAUACUGCUAGUGAUUGUUCUCGCCGGCUUAUAACAGGCAGGAUAUAAAUACACGUUAUAGAAGAGGAAAUUCAAAAGAGAAACAGGGAAGCAGGUUUGAGAUUUUGAAAAAUAGCAUGUUCAGGACCCGCUUACUCAGAGGCAAUUAGACUGUGACCCAGGGCAAAUCAUGCUUCACUUUGCUGUUAUUGUUAGAAUGAGAAGAAAUUUCAAAAACCCAGGAGCCCCACCCCUUCCUAUUUCAUUGGAGCAUAGAUUAUUUUUCAAGGGGUGAGGCUCGGGUUAAGGAUGAGUGCUCCCCUCAUUGAACACUCGAAUCAACAGAGGCGGAUAUUGUCUUUCUUCUCAGUGACCCCCACCCCCAUCCCAUCUUUUUUUGCUAAACUUUAAUUUUCAGGAUAUUUAUGGGACAUCUCAACUAAAGCUUUCCAGUAGAUAUACCAUGGGCAGCAUCAGUUUAUUUUGUUUUAUUGUUAAGGUAGUUGCUUUCAUCUUAAAAAAAAAAAAAAGUUAACACUCAGCUAUUUUGACUUCAGAAAAAAAAAAGGUAGUGAACACAGGUAUUUUGACUUCAGGAAAAUGACUUCCCUUGCCCAUGGCAUCUUGCAACCAAACGCACUCAAAGUCCUUUAAUUAUUAGGUAAGCUAGGUGGUUGCUACCCUAGAUGACAAGGCGGGGUCUGCAAAUGGUGCCUUCAGACACUGUGGAUUCAGAGGCCAACACUUUGCAGAGGCCUCUGCAUUGUGGACCUAAUGGUGGUGUCUGGUUAAACUCCAGACCAGACCGGUGGGCUCUCCAGUGGGUGGGCUCUCCAGUGGGAAUCCCAAGUGCCUCAGCGAGUUAGCAGUGUGGCAAGGUUCAGGGAGAAGAUACAGAGACGUUUUCAGCCCACUCCCUGGAACCUUCCGUGAACUAGUGGCCACCCACCUGCUGAUUUCCAGCUUGGGAAAACACAACUGCCUUCUGCUCCUGAAGAACUUCUUUCCUGCUUGCAUGUCAAGGCUAUUUCACAAGGCAGGGUCCUUGCCUACCCGUUACCUUCCUGAAUAGGAGAAAGGAUGGUGCAUGUUGGAUGUUAGCUAUCUAAGCCAUCUGUCAGUACUCAGGCUCCUGGUCUCUGACAACAUCCCAGAGUGGCUGGAGAGGGGCUCAAGAAAGCUUCCUCAACUGGCUUCUGAUGCUAAAGAAAGAUUUUUCUAGAAUGGUGGCCACGUUAACAUUCAAAUACUUUGGGGGCCAUGCAGCAAAUAAAAUGAGAGAACAGGUGGGAGAUAUGAUGACAAACGCAGUUCUCCCUCUGCCUACAGGCUUCAGAUUCAGCUGUUGGCUUGUUUAGGUCCUGGGCCAGCAAAGUCAACACAGCCGCAGCCUGUCUUUGAUUACGAGACCCAGAGUUUGCAGUACUCUGCCCAUGUGCUCUUCUGGACAGCUUAGAUGUUCCUGGCAAGGCCUUGGGUGGGUGGCAGAUGAGACACGCCUUUGAUCCACUGCCAACCCAGGCCAGCACUACCCACUUGGUGGCUUUAGACAGUUAUCUUCUCUGAGUUCCAAUUGCUUCAUUUGUAAAAUGAAGACAAUGCCCACCUUAUAAACUCUGUGUGUAAGGAUGAGGUGAGAUUCUGCACUGAGAGCAUUUGCUACUACGUCUGGCACACACUUAGAAAUGGCAGUGAAGUCUAUGGCCAUACCACCCUGAACACACCCGAUCUUGUCUGAUCUCAGAAGCUAAGCAGGGUUGGGUCUGGUUAGUACUUGGAUGGGAGGAAUGGCAGUGAAACCACAAGCCAUGCUUACACAUCAAGCCCCCAGUACAGAGCAGCCCCGGUGUCCAGUCAGGUCACAUCUAAGUUUAGCCUCGGAGUCUCAGCUUGCACACCUGUCUCUCCUCGCCUCCUGACCCACUUUUGGGUCUUUCCCAGUGUAACCUUCCCAGCUUCCUCUCCCUCUCAGGCCCUGAGAUUCAGCUUCUCAGCUUGACUCCUGGGGGCACCCUCCAGGAAGAGGGUUUGUGUUUGUCCUCCAGAUCUCUCUAGAGGCACCUCAGCCAUCCCUCCAAGAGGUAUCUGGAUUAGAAUUAGCUGUGCUGCCUCUGGUCCAGGUUCUGAGGGGCCCAGGCCACGUCACCCAUCAGUAGGCCUGAGAUGGAGAGAGGACUGAAGAUUCGGCAUAGAGGGGCUCAUGCUUAUACUUCCUGGGAUCCCAGCAGUGCCCAAAUUCUCUGUGGCUCAGAGUCUUCACAGACAUUCUUUUCUUGCUCUUCUGUUUCUCCCUGACCAAACCCUACCCGUGCGAUCAUUCUUAGCAAAAUCCCUUUUUUCAGAAAAGCUGCUAUGAAUGAAUGUUUGUGAUUCCCCUCACCUCCACUGCUGCCAAAAUUCAUAUCUUGAAGUCCUAACCCACAGUGUGGUGUUAUUUGGAGGUGAGGCCUUUGAGAGGUGAUUAGGUUUAGAUGAGGUCAUGAGGGUGGGGCCCUCAGGAUGGUAUUAGUGCCCUUAUAAGAAGAGGAAGAGACCAGAGCCUUCUUUCCCUCUGUCGUGUGAGGACACAGGAAGGCAGCUGCCUGCAAGCCAGGAAGAAGGUCCCCACCAGGCAGCAAGUCUGAAGGCACCCUGAUCGUGGGCUUCCCAGCCUCCAGAACUGUGAGAAAUCAUUGUUCGUUAAGCUAUCUAGUCUGUGGAUUGUGUUAUAGUUGCCUGAAGUAUGACAAGUGCUUUCCUUGGGUGACAUUUAUAAAUUAGCCCCCUCCAAUUAUAUCCUCUUAGGAAAUAUUCUAUGUGUGUUUUUUUCACUGCAUUUAUUAUCAUUUGUAUCUAUACAAAUUCCAUACUCGAGUGAGCAUUUGUUCAAUUUUUUCCCCCUAUUUUUAUUAGGCUCUACUAUAUUGGGACAUAAAUACACAUGUUACAUUUGAGAACUUCCAAGUGGCAUAACAGAAGUUUAUUUUUGUCUCAGGUAAAACUGGAGUUGGGUUCGUGGCUUUGCUUAACAGAGUCACCUGUUUUUCCAUCCUUAGGGUGUCACCUCAUGUGUAUGGCCCGAAAUAGCUCAGAGCAAUAUCCUCAUUCCUGCCAGUGGAGGGGACGGAAGGGGAAGGGGCAGUGACGCCCUUUCCCUUUAAGGGCUGGAGCUCCAUGCCUGCCUGUCUGACGUACAUGUAGCAUCCAAUAAAUCACUUGAGGCCCUUCUGCUGCUGUGCAGCCCCUUACCCAGCUUAGCCUAACUCAGGGAGUGGCAGUCACUAUUUGUCAGUGGAGAGCUAUGGAAAUAGGGCAAUAUCUAUGCUCUGGAAACCACACAUUUUUAAAAGAAGAAUUGGUGUCUGCUGGGUCUCCUUCUGACUUCUGGUUCCUAGUAGUGCCUUCUCCACGGGCUCCUCUUUCCCAGGAAAUGGCCUCUUCUUCCUGGACUGGACAGGCUGAGGUCCAUGAAGCGGCUGGUGGCUGAUUUUCAGGAGCCCAGCACCCACACCUAGUUCAAAUGUCACCUCUUCUGUGAAGCCCUCCCUGACCCUCUUCCUCCCACUAGCUUCCUGCCCAGGAAGGCCUGGAAGAAUGAAUCACUUCCUCUGUACUCUCGCUGCUCCCUGCCCAUUUCUGUUUGGGCUUUGAUCCCACGGGUAACUGUGGGAGAGCUCAGGCUGGUUCCAUUAGGUAUCAGCCAUCUCUGAGGUUUGUCCCUCUCCCCCUUAACUACUCAGAGUCUCUUGCCAUUAAAAUAAGGUCAUCUCUACAGGAUUCAUCAGAAUGCGAUUGAGCAAAGUGCUGGGGGGGGGGCAUAUGGGCGCCAUUUUUGCUGGUUAACAGAGGACAGUAUCCUGGUUGCUGAUGAGGAGGUCAGAGGCCAAGGAGAAGGACAGAGUGUUGGUACCCGGCACAGACCAUCAAGUUUCUAGGAACCCCUGGUUCUGAGGUUGGACGCUGUUUGCUAGAAAGGAGAUCAGCUGGCUCUAGGGCCCUGUCUCCUCUCCAUGGUUCCUGUUGGUUGAGGGUCUUCAUCUUGGGCUCCGUGGGCCCUACCCCCAACCCCAAGACUCAUUUCUAGGCUUGGAAGAGGACGGAAAGCUUUCUCCUGUCUCACUUGGGAUUUCUAAACUUCUAGACUCCUUGAGGACAAGCUUUUGACAAAACACUCAGAACCUUUUUCUCUAGCUCUUCUCUCUCGUCCCGGGGCUGAGGCACAGAUGCAGCACCUUUCAGUCGUCUGAAGGAAAGAGGGCUCACAAGGCAGCAAGAAGCAUGAGCAGAUGCUGGAGGAAGGACGGGGUAAGCGCUCAAGGAUCUGCCUCCUCAUGCUGCCUCACUCUUGUUUACACUCAUCUUCCUUGUCAGACUGAGGAUGCGGGACACAGGCCAGAACUGUGCAUCAUGCCUUUUUCAUUCAAUGCCUGCAUUAGGCCACAUUUUUGGUAAAUGUUAAAUGAAUGGCCUAUAACUGUAUAUGACAAGACUUUCUUGGACCGUGAUUAUCACUUACAUUUGUAAGCACGUUCCAGAUUUGUCUCCACUACUUUGUUGAUUC
This 7276-nucleotide long non-coding RNA is filed under the name Sus scrofa (pig). The record is from RNAcentral. Lineage: Eukaryota; Metazoa; Chordata; Mammalia; Artiodactyla; Suidae.